This 253-nucleotide ribosomal RNA is filed under the name uncultured bacterium. RNAcentral's name for it is "partial 16S ribosomal RNA". It matches the Rfam family "Bacterial small subunit ribosomal RNA", at positions 524 to 776 of the family's 1533-position model. The record is from RNAcentral.
GACGAACCACACAAACGUUAUUCGGAAUUACUGGGCUUAAAGGGUGCGUAGGCUGCGCAGAAAGUUGGGUGUGAAAUACCUCGGCUCAACCGAGGAACUGCGCCCAAAACUACUGUGCUCGAGGAAGAUAGAGGUAAGCGGAACUUACGGUGGAGCGGUGAAAUGCGUUGAUAUCGUAAGGAACACCUGUGGCGAAAGCGGCUUACUGGGUCUUUUCUGACGCUGAUGCACGAAAGCUAGGGGAGCAAACGGG